This 710-nucleotide long non-coding RNA is filed under the name Olea europaea (common olive). Its description in RNAcentral is "long non-coding RNA (OEUR_LNC009999)". Lineage: Eukaryota; Viridiplantae; Streptophyta; Magnoliopsida; Lamiales; Oleaceae. The record is from RNAcentral.
UCUAUAAGAUAAAAUUAGCAAAUCGCAGAGAAACUAUGAAUUCAGAGUUGCUGGACUUGCCGACAAAUACCUAAAACAAUUUCAAGGAAAAGAUUAUUAGUGUAUUUAGGAAGGAUUACAAAAAAUUCUAAUUAGAAAUCUGAUGAUUGUCAAAUCCAUAAGAUAAAAAAGCAGAUGGUAAAGAGACCUUUAAUUUGAAGUCACUGUACUAGCUGGCAAAUAUCUAAAACAAUUUGAAGGAAAAGAUUAUCUGCAUAUUCAGGAUGGAUCACAAGAAAUUCUAAUUAGAAAUCUGAUAAUUGUCAGAUCUAUAAUAUAAACCUUCAUUUUGGAGAUACUGGACUCUCUACAAAGAGAGAGAGAUGGAGCCAUCAAUGUUGAAUUGGUAGAGUUUAUAGAAGCUACGCUCGGAGUAAUACUAGUCUUUUAUAUGAUAUGCCUAUGUUUGGUCCAUAUGCUAGUUUUUGAGCUUUCUAUGUUUAAGCCCCUCUCUCCAAGCAGAAACUGUUGGGCCAAGUGUAAAGUAACCCGGAUGGCGCCUGGAGGUCCUUCCCAUAAUGCAGAGGAAAUUGAGAGAGCAUGGAAUAUCUAAGAAAGCCCUAGAAGUAAUUAUUAAUAAAUUAGCCAUUUACUAGAAUUAUGGUUAUUUCAUAUUUUUCGACUCUUUGGUUGUUUACUACUUUACUAUAAUCAAUUUAUAACUUUAAUUA